CAGUAGCCACGGUAAUACGAAGGGUGCAAGCGUUACUCGGAAUUACUGGGCGUAAAGCGUGCGUAGGUGGUGGUUUAAGUCCGUUGUGAAAGCCCUGGGCUCAACCUGGGAAUUGCAGUGGAUACUGGAUUACUAGAGUGUGGUAGAGGAUAGUGGAAUUUCCGGUGUAGCAGUGAAAUGCGUAGAGAUCGGAAGGAACAUCUGUGGCGAAGGCGACUAUCUGGGCCAACACUGACACUGAGGCACGAAAGCGUGGGGAGCAAACAGGAUUAGAUACCCCGGUAGUCCCUGUCUCUUAUAC
This 301-nucleotide ribosomal RNA is filed under the name uncultured bacterium. RNAcentral describes it as "partial 16S ribosomal RNA". It matches the Rfam family "Bacterial small subunit ribosomal RNA", at positions 509 to 807 of the family's 1533-position model. The record is from RNAcentral.